CAGCAGCAGGGCUGUGUGUCUAAAGGGGAGACGGUCGGUCUCCAGCAGCAGGGCUGUGUGUCUAAAGGGGAGACGGUCGGUCUCCAGCAGCAGGGCUGUGUGUCUAAAGGGGAGACGGUCGGUCUCCAGCAGCAGGGCUGUGUGUCUAAAGGGGAGACAGUCGGUCUCCAGCAGCAGGGCUGUGUGUCUAAAGGGGAGACAGUCGGUCUCCCCCUCCAACAACCAGGCUUCAACCAGGCUACCUUCCCAGUAGCGCUGGCACCAGGGCAG
Pelobates cultripes (western spadefoot toad) is the source of this 270-nucleotide non-coding RNA. The record is from the annotation of a GenBank genome assembly. NCBI's taxonomy places the organism in Eukaryota, Metazoa, Chordata, Amphibia, Anura, Pelobatidae.